AAUUCUCAACUGCUUUGGAUUUUGUUUCAAAGUGAAGUUGGAUUUGGAGUUGUUAUUGUCGGCAUUGCUCGACUGCUCCCAAAAGCAUUGAAAGCCUGUUCUGAUAGAUCUUGGCAUAUUUGACGUGAUAAUUGUCUACGUCGCAAGCCUUUUGAAGGGCAGGAGUGAGACUUGUUGCAAGCUUGCUUCUGUUGGGGGAACAGCUCUAUUAUAUUGAUCCACACUUAGGUCUUUAUUGAUCGUAUGUUGUGUUUCAUUGACCC
RNAcentral lists this unclassified non-coding RNA (263 nucleotides) under uncultured Hydnellum. RNAcentral's name for it is "sequence contains ITS2". Lineage: Eukaryota; Fungi; Basidiomycota; Agaricomycetes; Thelephorales; Thelephoraceae. The record is from RNAcentral.